RNAcentral lists this long non-coding RNA (4746 nucleotides) under Homo sapiens (human). RNAcentral's name for it is "HSALNT0029900". The record is from RNAcentral. Lineage: Eukaryota; Metazoa; Chordata; Mammalia; Primates; Hominidae.
CUGAAAUCUAUAUGCACUAUAGGGCUUUCAUAGUACUUUUCUGACCACGGUUUUCUGGAGUUUUUUCGUAUGGAGUUUGUAAGCUUCCUGACAUGUUAUUUUUGGCAGAUUUUGAUGGAUGUACAUUGAUGGAUAGCCACGUGGAUCCAGAAAAUAAAGACUUCUACUCUGCAUUUGACUAAAGCAGAAGAUAUGCAAGGAAGCUCAGUCUCUCAAUUGAGUGGAUUCUGAAAUUUAUCCUGUUGUCUUCAGCUACUAAGGCUAAUUUGCAAAUCACACUGUGCACGGACGGCGUCUCGCUGUGUUACCCAGGCUGGAGUGCAGUGGCGCGAUCUCAGCUCACUGCAACCUCACCUCCCGGGUUCAAGUGAUUCCUCUGCCUCAGCCUCCGGAGUAGCUGGGACUACAGGUGCGUGCCACCAUGCCUGGCUCAUUUUUUUUGUAUUUUAGUAGAGACGGGGUUUCACCAUGUUGGCCAGGAUGGCCUCGAUUUCCUGACCUUGUGAUCCGCCCGCCUCGGCCUUCCAAAGCGCUGGGAUUACAGUCAUGAGCCACCGUGCCCGGCCAAAUGUAUCUAUUUUUUAAUAGUUUGUACUUGUUGUUCUCUAUUUAAGAAAUGUUGUUUGCCUAUCUGAAAACCAAAAAAACAAACAAACAAACAAAAAAAAAACAAACUCACCUUGAAUUGUAAUAAUCCCCAGGUGUCAAAGGCAGGGCCAGGUGGAGAUAAUUGAAUCAUAGAAGCGGUUUCCCCAAUACUGUUCUCGUGGUAGUGAAUAAGUCUCACGAGAUCUGAUAAUUUUAUAAAUGGGAGUUCCCCUGCAUAAGCUCUCUUGCCUGCCGCAAAGUAAGACAGGUAUUUGCCUCUUCUUUGCCUUCCGCCGUGAUUGUGAGGCCUCCCCAGCCAUGUGGAACUGUGAGUUCAUUAAAACUCUUUUCUUUAUAAAUUACCAGUCUCGUGUGUGUCCUUAUAGCAGUGUGAGAAUGAAGAAAUACAUUUUUUUCAUAUUUCACAUAUAAUUUAACAAUUUUAGUUAGUAUAGAUGAAUAAUUUAUCUUGAGGUUUUUUAAAUGCAUGACUUAAGGAAAAGGUUGACAUUUAUCCUUCCUCCCAAAGAGGAUAUGCAGUUAUCCCAACACCGCUUGUUGAAAAAGCUUCUUUUAUCUUGUAAAUUGUCUUCACCACUUUGCCAAUAAUUAAUAGACCAUGUAAAUGUAGAUCUAUUUCUGGAUUUUAUUUUUUUCCAUUUCCCUACUGGGCCAAUGCCUUGUCUGGAUUUGAUUGUCUUGAUGACUACACUUUGAAAUGUCUUCUAAAUUGUCCUGCUUUUCAAAGAUUCUUCUGACUUUUCUAAAUAAUUUGCUAAUAUGUAAAUUUUAAAAUCAGCUUCUCAACCUCUCACAAAAAAGCCUACUAGAAUUUUAAUUGGGAUUGAAUUCCAUCUACAAGUCAAUUUGGACAGAACGGCCAUUUUCAACAAUAAUGAAUUUUUCAGUUCCCAAACAUGAUGUAUUUACUCCAUUUACUUUUUUUCUAUUUCUCUUUGCAAUGUUUUCUAGUUUUCCAUUUACCAAUUUUAUACAUUUGUUGUUUAUUCCUAGUAUAUUUUUCUAGAUACUAAUAAUAAACUUUUUUUUAUCAUUAGACUUCAGUGAAACUUUGUUUUUGAAUGCUAAUAUUAUAUCUGAAAAUCUUUGUACAUUCAUAUAUAAGAGCUGGUGGUUUUUGUGUAGAUUUCUUAGGAUUUUUCUAUAUAAACAGUUAUACAGUCUGAAUAAAACAGUUUUGUUUCUUUUGUUUCAAUUGUUUGAUAUGACAUUUCUUUUUCUUCUUCUAUUUUCUUCCUUUUCUUUUUCUUUUUUUUUUUUUCUUUGAGAUGGAGUAGUCUGUUUCUGUUGACCAGGCUGGAGUGCAGUGGUGCAAUCUCGGCUCACUGCCACCUCUGCCUCCUGGGCUCCCAGGUUCAAACGAUUCUCCUGCCUCAUCCUCCCAAGUAGCUGGGAUUACAGGUGUGUGCCAUCAUACCCGGCUAAUUUUUGUAUUUUUGGUGGAGACAGGGUUUCACCUUGUUGGCCAGGCUGGUCUCGAACUCCUGACCUCAGGUGAUCUGUCUGCCUCAGCCUCCCAAAGUGCUAGGAUUGUUGUACCCGGCGAGUUAAGAAGACACCACACUUUGAGACGAAUUAAGAGUCCUUUAUUAAGCCAGUGGCCAAAUAGACGGCUAAUGCUCAAAAUUCUCUCGGCCACGAGGAAAGGGCUCGAUUAACUUUUAUACCUAGGUUUAGGAAGGGGAGGGGGACUCAAACGUAAUAAUUCUACAGAAGUAAAAACAUGCAAGAAUCAAAAGAAUCAAAAUGGUUACAGAGUGAUAAUUUAAAAGACAAAUGGUUACAAGAAGAGCAAGGGUGCCACGUGCAAGGUUCUAAAUCUUUUAUUAUAAUUAGAUAUAGGGUCUAUGCCGGACAGGAACUCAAGGUUUUAUGUUGUUAUCUCUUGGAGAAAAUUCCUGGGAACUUAAUACGUUGUUGGUGUUGGUACCUUAUCAGUUAAUUGGGCUCCUUUGAAAUGCUGAGGAUCUGUUUACCCAGGCCAACUCCUCACAAAAGGGGUUUGGGUGAGGAGCCCUAGUGUCUUGUAAAUUAAGGGGUCAGUUGGAGUUUGUCCGGCUUUCCUAGCUAGAGAGAGUCUUAUUUACAUGAGAAGCAAGGCUAGGUGAUUAAAGAGACAGGCAGGACAAAAUUCAAAGUAACCAGUUAAAGUAAAAACACGGUUAGGCAUUUCAGGAUUACAAGCGUGAGCCACCACGCCCAGCCAACAUUUCUUUUUUACCUUGCUUUAUUGCACUGGCUAAGAAUUAUGAUUAAAUGCUGAAUGAAAAUAGAACAAACAUUUUUGCAUUUUUUCCCUGACUUGCAGGAUUCAGAUUUUAACACUAAGUAUGAUUAUAUAACGGUUUUAUAUUAUAGAUGCCCUUAUCCACUGAUAAAUUAAAGUUUUCUUCAAUUAUUAGUAUGCUGAGGUUUUUGUCAUGAAUAGAUUUUGAAUUACAUCAAAUAUUUCUUGGGCAUUCAUUUACAUAUCACUUUAUUAAUAUGGUUAAAUAUGGUAAUUAAUUUUCUAAAGUUAAUAGAAUAUUUUCAAUAUUUGAAAUACACCAUAUUUGGUCAUGAUGCAUUAUCUUUUUAAAGUAACUGCUGCAAUUCAUUUGUUAACAUUUUAUAAGGAUUUUUUAAAAAUCUGUUUUCAUUUCUGUUGUCUUUGUUUGACAUUGGUAUCAGAGUAAUGCUGACCUAACAAAAUGAAUUGGAAGAUGUUUCCUCUAACUAUAUUUCCUAAAAUCCUUUUGAGGCUGGUAUUAUUUGUUUAUUAAAUAUUUGAUAGAGUUUAUCAGUGAAACAAUCUGGGCCAGGACUUUUGUUUCCUAGUUGUUAGGAGAUUUUUAUUACAAUUUAAUUUAUUUAAAUGGCAUAGAUAUUUAGAUUUCUAUUUGUUAUCUCCUUUUGAGUCAGUUUUGGCACUGUGUAUCUUUCCAGAAUUUUUCUGUUUCAUGUAGAUUCUCAAAUGUUUUGGUAUAAUUUAUUCAUAAUAUUCUCAUAUUAUCCAGUCUUUUUCAUGAUCCUGUAUUUUAAGAUUUAACCCGCUGGAUCUGUCAUGACAUUCUGUUGCAUUACUUAUAUUGGUAAUUUGUAUUUUAGAUUUUGUAUUUUAUCAGCCUAGUUACAGGCCAAUUAAUUAUAUUGAUCUUUACUAAUAUUUAAUUGCAUUAACAUUCUCUAUUUUUUAUUAUAUUCCUUUUUUUUUACUUUGGUUUAAUUUGCGUUGUUGUUUCUUGAGGUGGGAACUUCUAUCAUUAGAUUAUUGAUUUUUAGAACUUUCUUCUUUAAACAUGCAUCUUUAUAAAUUUCACUUUAAUCAUUCAUAUUUUCUUAUUCAUAUUGUUAUAAAAAUGUUUUUAUUUUUCUUAUGAUUUCUGUUUUGACUCAUGAAUUAUCUAGAAUUAUGUUGUUAAUUUUCAAAUAAUUGGAGUUUUCCUAGUUGUCUUACUGCAAUUGGUGUCAAUUUUAAUUCUACUAUGUUCGGAGAACACCAUAUUUGAUUUUAAUCUUUUCUAGUUUAUUAUUUUUUUAUGGGCCACAAUAUGGUCUAACUUAGAAAAUAGUCCAUGUGUAUCCACAAAGAACAAGUAUGUUACAAGUUUUGGAUGUAUUCUUCUACACGUAUCAAUUAAGUAAAGGUGGUGGUUGUGUCUUUCAGACCUAUGCCUCUUCUAAUUAUUUCUCUAGUUGCGUUAUCAUUUGCUUAGAAAAUAUGUUGAAUUAGUUUUGUAUUGAUGCUGUCAAAAAUUAUCACAUAUUUAGUGGCUUAAAAACAAUUCCUAUUUACUAACUAACAGCUCUGUAGUUCCUCAGUCCAAGUAAAGCAUGGCUCAGCUAUUUCUGUUCUCUGGGUUUCACAGGCCCCAGGAAAGUGUCAGCAGGGCUGUGCUCCUUUCUGGGUGUUCUUAGUAUGAAUCUGCUUCCAAUCUCAGUUAGGUUCUUCGAAGAAUUCAUUUUCAUGCUGUUGCAGAAAUGAGUUCCCCAUUUGCUUGCUGGCUACUGGUGAGAAGUUGCUUUUAGCCAUUCAUUAGUUCAGGAUUUCCUUCCUCCAUCUCAGAAUCCAGUAAUAACAGUUUGUGUUUUCUUCAUGCUUCAAAUCUUUCUGACCUCCCUUGGGCUUCAUCCCCAUCUCCUACUUACUUUCUUUCU